Molecule: transfer RNA, 93 nt
Organism: Microdochium bolleyi
Lineage: Eukaryota; Fungi; Ascomycota; Sordariomycetes; Xylariales; Microdochiaceae
Rfam family: tRNA
About the family: Transfer RNA (tRNA) molecules are approximately 80 nucleotides in length. Their secondary structure includes four short double-helical elements and three loops (D, anti-codon, and T loops).
Source: Rfam
GUCUCGUUAUCUCAGUGGUAGAGCGUGGGAUUGCAGUUCCACAAGGACAAGUAAUUCAUCCUAAGGUCAGGCGAUCGAACCGCCUUCGGGACU